AGAGGGUGCAAGCGUUAAUCGGAAUUACUGGGCGUAAAGGGCACGUAGGUGGCUAAUUAAGUUGGAUGUGAAAGCCCCGGGCUUAACCUGGGAAGGUCGUCCAAUACUGGCUAGCUAGAGUACAGUAGAGGGGAGUGGAAUUUCCGGUGUAGCGGUGAAAUGCGUAGAUAUCGGAAGGAACACCAGUGGCGAAGGCGACUCUCUGGACUGCAACUGACACUGAGGUGCGAAAGCGUGGGGAGCGAACAGGAUUAGAUACCCUGGUAGUCCACGCCGUAAACGAUGAAAACUAGCUGUUUGGUGCCCUUGAGCAUUGAGUAGCGCAGCUAACGCGUUAAGUUUUCCGCCUGGGGAGUACGGCCGCAAGGUUA
RNAcentral lists this ribosomal RNA (371 nucleotides) under uncultured organism. RNAcentral describes it as "partial 16S ribosomal RNA". It matches the Rfam family "Bacterial small subunit ribosomal RNA", at positions 527 to 896 of the family's 1533-position model. The record is from RNAcentral.